GACGAACGCUGGCGGCGUGCCUAAUACAUGCAAGUAGAACGCACAGGUUAUACCCUAGUUUGCUACACCAUAGACUGUGACGGGCGAGUGAGGGAUUAACGCGUAGGUAAUCUGCCGGGGAGCACGUGUUAACUAUAGUAAACGUUAGCUAUUACAGCAUAAUAUUAAUUAUUUCAGGAUAAUUAAUUCAAUGGCACAAUUCAACCACUACCAGGUGUUCCUUGAUUGUAUUAGCUAGUAGGUGAGUUAACGGCUCACCUAGGCGACGAUACAUAGCCGACCUGAGGGGGUGAUCGGCCACACUGGAACUGAGACACGGCCCAGACUCCUACGGGAGGCAGCAGUAGGGAAUCUUCGGCAAUGGCCGAAAGUCUGACCGAGCAACGCCGCGUGAGUGAAGAAGGUUUUCGGAUCGUAAAGCUCUGUUGUAAGGGAAGAACGGGGGUAGGAGGGGAAAGUCCUCACUGUACGGGAAUCAUACAAGAAAGGACGGCUAACUUCGGG
RNAcentral lists this ribosomal RNA (504 nucleotides) under uncultured bacterium. Its description in RNAcentral is "partial 16S ribosomal RNA". It matches the Rfam family "Bacterial small subunit ribosomal RNA", at positions 28 to 507 of the family's 1533-position model. The record is from RNAcentral.